GUGAGGAAUUUUCCGCAAUGGGCGAAAGCCUGACGGAGCAAUGCCGCGUGAAGGAUGAAGGCCUAUGGGUUGUAAACUUCUUUUCUCAGAAAAGAAUUAUGACGGUAUCUGAGGAAUAAGCAUCGGCUAACUCUGUGCCAGCAGCCGCGGUAAGACAGAGGAUGCAAGCGUUAUCCGGAAUGAUUGGGCGUAAAGCGUCUGUAGGUUGUUUAAAAAGUAUUCUGUCAAAGAUUAGGGCUUAACCCUAGAUAGGCAGAAUAAACUUUUAAGCUAGAGUUUGGUAGAGGCAGAGGGAAUUCCCGGUGGAGCGGUGAAAUGCGUAGAUAUCGGGAGGAACACCAAAGGCGAAGGCACUCUGCUGGGCCAAUACUAACACCGAGAGACGAAAGCGAGGGGAGCAAAUGGGAUUAGAUACCCCGGUAGUCC
Molecule: ribosomal RNA, 426 nt
Filed under: uncultured bacterium
Lineage: Bacteria
Description: partial 16S ribosomal RNA
Rfam family: Bacterial small subunit ribosomal RNA
Source: RNAcentral